AAUUUGGGGUAGAAUUUUUCAUAGAGUAUGAAUAUAUACUUUGUUUAUGUUUUUGAUUUUUUAAUAAAUACGACCUUAUGUGCUUCUUCAAAUAGGUCCUUAAACUCUGUAAAAAUCACAACUAAUUAAUACUUUCAUCAAUGUUGACAAACUUUAUAUGUUUUUGGAUCAGAAUCUGGAAAGGAUUUUGUUGGUAUACUAUGUUUUGAAAUUUGAACAAACUAAAAGCAUGUUUGUUUCGAAAUUCAAAUAACACCCUCUGGUUUUGCCGUUGCAUAAAUUGUUAUGAACAGUGAGAGCAGGAUCAAAUCAUGAAAUUUUUGCACGGUAAUUUUUCAUAUUUUUUGAGAUGCAGAAGUAUCUGAAAUAAUCCCUCCUUAUGGAUUGUUCUUUGCAUGUCUAAAAGUGUGGUGGGGGGUCUUCAGAGGUUCGCAAUCCGAGCUGGUCCAGAGAGGAAGAGGCCUACUUUAGGUAUCUCACUACUUAUCGUCAAGAGGUAGUUGAACAUGAUGCCAAACGGACUUUGCUCGACGACUACCGUGCACAAAAAAUGGAGAACAUGUACUUGGCGAUGGAAAAUGGCACUCGGGCUCCAGCAAUGGGACCACCACCACCCAAUCCUGGACCAGCCCCAGUAAUGCUGACGAUCGAAGAAUUCUUGGCACGUGGUGGCGACGGGACUUUGGUUAGUAUAUUGUCAA
Molecule: long non-coding RNA, 701 nt
Organism: Triticum aestivum (bread wheat)
Lineage: Eukaryota; Viridiplantae; Streptophyta; Magnoliopsida; Poales; Poaceae
Exons: 3
Source: RefSeq, a predicted model, not a curated record